Molecule: long non-coding RNA, 297 nt
Filed under: Bos taurus (domestic cattle)
Lineage: Eukaryota; Metazoa; Chordata; Mammalia; Artiodactyla; Bovidae
Description: long non-coding RNA NONBTAT023799
Source: RNAcentral
GCUUGUUUCACUCUUCUUUGCUGUGGUUGUUUCUGAUUAAAGAAUGGGCCCCUUGAGUGGAUAAAGACAAGGCCUUAGAGCCCCCAGCCCCCCGAGAAACACUAACAUUGGCCCAAAGUUCCCCAGGGCUGUCCAUCCCUGUAUCUCCCCUGUAGGACUUGAAGCCAUGAGCACUUGCUGUGUGGGGGAGAGAGAGAGCUGUAUUCCCAGUGAGCUCAGGGGGCAGAGAUACAAAAAAGACACCGCACUGAAAGCGCUCUGAGUUUCUCCUCCCAUUUAAGGCGACUAAAUAAAUGU